AAGUCGUAACAAGGUAACCGUAGGUGAACCUGCGGUUGGAUCAUUACUGUAGAUUUUUGGCACUUCGUUUCGGCGAACGUGCCAACAAUCAAACCCCUUGUAAACUAUAACCGUAUUUUGGCGGCCCUCCAAACCCGUUUGGUGACUUGACUGCAUCGAACGAUGGGCUGUCAGCUUUUGUUUAAACCAUUGUUAUCUGUUAUAAUUUUUGUCUCCAAUGAGUUUCAUAUUUGAAGCUUGUUUUAUUUAAAUAAUAAACAACUUUUGACAACGGAUCUCUUGGCUCUC
Molecule: unclassified non-coding RNA, 288 nt
Filed under: fungal sp.
Lineage: Eukaryota; Fungi
Description: partial internal transcribed spacer region
Rfam family: Eukaryotic small subunit ribosomal RNA (bases 1-46)
Source: RNAcentral